RNAcentral lists this long non-coding RNA (390 nucleotides) under Musa acuminata (dwarf banana). RNAcentral's name for it is "long non-coding RNA (MACU_LNC011717)". The record is from RNAcentral. Lineage: Eukaryota; Viridiplantae; Streptophyta; Magnoliopsida; Zingiberales; Musaceae.
AAGAACAAUAAUUGAAGAAGCUUUAUUAAAGAAGUGAAGUAGCUUUAGCUUGAAUCUAUUAACAUGUUCCCUCUCCUAUUUAUACAGAUUAGGAGGAAGGAUUUCCCUCAACAGAAUAAACAGAAUAGAGAGAUUUCCUCAUAUAAUUGGGGAAAUCUUAUCUUCUAUCAUGCCCCCGCAAGAUGGUGCUCCUAACAAGGAUACCAAUCUUGGAUCGAUGUAAAGAAUGGUUUAAAGCAAGAGGCUUCGUGAGUAGGGCAAGAGCAUAUCGCUGUUGCUGUUGCGAUUGCUGUUGCUGUGAGGGCACAGGCGUUCCCUUCGUUCUCCUUAAGUCCGCCGACUGUUGGCAGAUCAGCGAAGACUACCGCGGUGAGGAAGAUGAGGGUUGGC